This 29-nucleotide non-coding RNA is filed under the name Rattus norvegicus (Norway rat). Lineage: Eukaryota; Metazoa; Chordata; Mammalia; Rodentia; Muridae. The record is from RNAcentral.
UGACUCACAAUACAAAUGUUUUACAAAGC